CGUUUUAAAAUAAGGAGGCUGGUCUGAAGGUAGUGAAUUACUCAGUUGAUUGUUCAGAGUCAGUUACAGAUCGAACUUCUUAUUCUACUCCUUCCCCCUUCACACUACUGCACUUGACAACUAAAAAAAAAAAAAAAAAAAAAAAGCAAAGAAGAUGUACAAAUGCAAAUAGGCAUAUUAAAGGUGCCCAGCAUU
Sapajus apella (tufted capuchin) is the source of this 195-nucleotide long non-coding RNA. RefSeq lists it as uncharacterized. The transcript is spliced from 3 exons. Lineage: Eukaryota; Metazoa; Chordata; Mammalia; Primates; Cebidae. The record is from RefSeq and is a predicted model, not a curated record.